GGGAGUGGGUGAGGUUUGGAUCCACUUUGGGAGGGAGGAUUUAAAGAACAAUCUGGAGCAUUUGGAGCAUUGUUUGGUGAGUAGAUGGGGAGAUUCUACAUAUUUUUUUUUUUUUGAUAAAUAGAUGGGGAGAUUCUACAUAUGAGGUUAUGGAGUUAGUUUCUUUGAAAUCAUGGGCUAGUAUUAAUAGGAAGUUAAAUGGAAAUCUUCAUUUGGUGUUGAUGAGUAGUGCCCUCAUUUUGUCUGAUUUUGAGAAUGCUAAUAAUGUCGAAAGGGUGUGGCAUUUGGGUUUAUGCUUUUUUGAAGGAAGAGAUUGU
This 317-nucleotide long non-coding RNA is filed under the name Vitis vinifera (wine grape). Its description in RNAcentral is "long non-coding RNA (VVIN_LNC001588)". Lineage: Eukaryota; Viridiplantae; Streptophyta; Magnoliopsida; Vitales; Vitaceae. The record is from RNAcentral.